CCAAUAGCGUAUAUUAAAGUUGUUGCAGUUAAAAAGCUCGUAGUUGAAUUUCGGGAUCAGAUUGUCGGUCGUGCCUCGGUACGCACUGGCAUUAUUGGUUCCUACCUUCUGAAGAACCGCGAUGUCAUUAAUUUGGUGUCGUGGGGAAUCAGGACUGUUACUUUGAAAAAAUUAGAGUGUUUAAAGCAGGCGCACGCUUGAAUACAUUAGCAUGGAAUAAUGAAAUAGGACGUUUGAUUCUAUUUUGUUGGUUUCUAGGAUUGACGUAAUGAUUAAUAGGGAUAGUUGGGGGCAUUAGUAUUCAAUUGUCAGAGGUGAAAUUCUUGGAUUUAUUGAAGACUAACUACUGCGAAAGCAUUUGCCAAGGAUGUUUUCAUUAAUCAAGAACGAAAGUUAGGGGAUCGAAGACGAUCAGAUACUGUCGUAGUCUUAACCAUAAACUAUGCCGACUAGGGAUCGGAUGAUGUUAAUUUUUUAAUGACUCAUUCGGCGCCUUAC
This 498-nucleotide ribosomal RNA is filed under the name uncultured Glomeromycotina. RNAcentral describes it as "partial small subunit ribosomal RNA". It matches the Rfam family "Eukaryotic small subunit ribosomal RNA", at positions 591 to 1091 of the family's 1831-position model. Lineage: Eukaryota; Fungi; Glomeromycota. The record is from RNAcentral.